AGUAAAAUGGUUUGAUAUGAGGUGUGCAUAUAGUAUGGCAUGUCCUUUAUAAGAACUGACCAUUGUUUUUUUCUACUUAUUAGAAAUGGGGUCUUUAUAGCCCUUUAAAGUGUAAUAAUGUCCCAUAUCUCAAAAAUGCUGCAGUAAAAGGGUUUGAUAUGAGGUGUGCAUAUAGUAUGGGAUGUCCUUUAUAAGAACUGACCAUUGUUUUUUUCUACUUAUUAGAAAUGAUGUCUUUAUAGCCCUACAAAUCACCAUUUGGACCCAUAUCUCAAAAAUGCUGCAGUAAAAUGGUUUGAUAUGAGGUGUGCAUAUAGUAUGGCAUGUCCUUUAUAAGAACUGACCAUUGUUUUUUUCUACUUAUUAGAAAUGGGAUCUUUAUAGCCCUUUAAAGUGUAAUAAUGUCCCAUAUCUUGAAAAUGCUGCAGUAAAAUGGUUUGAUAUGAGGUGUGCAUAUAGUAUGGGACAUCCCUGAUAAGAACUGACUGUUGCUUUUUUCUACUUAUUAGAAAUGGGAUCUUUACAGCCAUUUAAAGUGUAAUAAUGUCCCAUAUCUCGAAAAUGCUGCAGUAAAAUGGUUUGAUAUGAGGUGUGCAUAUAGUAUGGGAUGUCCCUGAUAAGAACUGACUUUUGUUUUUUUCUACUUAUUAGAAAUGGGAUCUUUAUGACCCUUUAAAUUGUAAUAAUGUCCCAUAUCUUGAAAAUGCUGCAGUAAAAUGGUUUGAUAUGAGGUGUGCAUAUAGUAUGGGACAUCCCUGAUAAGAACUGACUGUUGCUUUUUUCUACUUAUUAGAAAUGGGAUCUUUACAGCCAUUUAAAAUGUAAUAAUGUCCCAUAUCUCGAAAAUGCUGCAGUAAAAUGGUUUGAUAUGAGGUGUGCAUAUAGUAUGGGACAUCCCUGAUAAGAACUGACCAUUGUUUUUUUCUACUUAUUAGAAAUGGGAUCUUUACAGCCAUUUAAAGUGUAAUAAUGUCCCAUAUCUCGAAAAUGCUGCAGUAAAAUGGUUUGAUAUGAGGUGUGCAUAUAGUAUGGCAUGUCCUUUAUAAGAACUGACCAUUGUUUUUUUCUACUUAUUAGAAAUUAUGUCUUUACAGCCCUCCAAAUCACCAUUUGGACCCAUAUCUCAAAAAUGCUGCAGUAAAAUGGUUUGAUAUGAUGUGUGCAUAUAAUAUGGGACGUCCCUGAUAAGAACUGACUAUUCUAUUAUUCUACUUAUUAGAAAUGGGAUCUUUAUAGCCCUUUAAAGUGUAAUAAUGUCCCAUAUCUCAAAAAUGCUGCAGUAAAAGGGUUUGAUAUGAGGUGUGCAUAUAGUAUGGCAUGUCCUUUAUAAGAACUGACCAUUGUUUUUUUCUACUUAUUAGAAAUGGGAUCUUUAUAGCCCUUUAAAGUGUAAUAAUGUCCCAUAUCUUGAAAAUGCUGCAGUAAAAUGGUUUGAUAUGAGGUGUGCAUAUAGUAUGGGACAUCCCUGAUAAGAACUGACUGUUGCUUUUUUCUACUUAUUAGAAAUGGGAUCUUUACAGCCAUUUAAAGUGUAAUAAUGUCCCAUAUCUCGAAAAUGCUGCAGUAAAAUGGUUUGAUAUGAGGUGUGCAUAUAGUAUGGGAUGUCCCUGAUAAGAACUGACUUUUGUUUUUUUCUACUUAUUAGAAAUGGGAUCUUUAUGACCCUUUAAAUUGUAAUAAUGUCCCAUAUCUUGAAAAUGCUGCAGUAAAAUGGUUUGAUAUGAGGUGUGCAUAUAGUAUGGGACAUCCCUGAUAAGAACUGACUGUUGCUUUUUUCUACUUAUUAGAAAUGGGAUCUUUACAGCCAUUUAAAAUGUAAUAAUGUCCCAUAUCUCGAAAAUGCUGCAGUAAAAUGGUUUGAUAUGAGGUGUGCAUAUAGUAUGGGACAUCCCUGAUAAGAACUGACCAUUGUUUUUUUCUACUUAUUAGAAAUGGGAUCUUUACAGCCAUUUAAAGUGUAAUAAUGUCCCAUAUCUCGAAAAUGCUGCAGUAAAAUGGUUUGAUAUGAGGUGUGCAUAUAGUAUGGCAUGUCCUUUAUAAGAACUGACCAUUGUUUUUUUCUACUUAUUAGAAAUUAUGUCUUUACAGCCCUCCA
Carassius gibelio (silver crucian carp) is the source of this 2095-nucleotide long non-coding RNA. RefSeq lists it as uncharacterized. Lineage: Eukaryota; Metazoa; Chordata; Actinopteri; Cypriniformes; Cyprinidae. The record is from RefSeq and is a predicted model, not a curated record. The transcript is spliced from 3 exons.